CGGUUUCUUCGUCACUCUUCGCGUUUCCGCUAACCCAAACCCAUUCACUCGCACGUCCAACCCAAAUGCCAUGAAUCAGCGCAUGACCUUUCUCUCAUCUUCUUGUAGCUUCGUAAUACUACCAAAAAUCUUCCAUUUACCUCUCCGGACCACCCAAAAUUGAUCCAUUUCUCUUUUCAUUUAAGAUCCGCUGAAUUUUACACCCUGAUUUUGCUCCUAGUUUACGAUCUCCAUCCUCUCUUUCCUCCCAAAACAACUAAACCCUAUAUUUGUAUUCACCAUCUUCCUCCGGUGCUCCUGCCUUCUUUGUAUUCACGAGUUGUCGAGAAACCCUAGAUUUCAUUCUUCUCUUUUUUGUAUAAAUUUUCCUUUGCUAGACUUUAAUUUUGGCAACUUGCGAUUUCAUUCUUCACCAAACGCUAUAGCUUUUAGUCCCAUUGGUUUGGUAACUAUUGACGGUUAUAGUUCUUUUGUUGGUUUUCUUUUGGUAGUUUUUGCACAAAUUUUGGGUUUGAAUCGGCUAGUUAGUUAGAUUUACGGUUGUUGAUGAUGAAUAAUAAUAAUAGAGGGCGGUAUCCGCCGGGGAUAGGCGCCGGUAGAGGCGGAGUUAUGAACGCGAAUCCUAGUUUUCAGUCGAGGGUUCCGCAGCAGCAGUAUGUGCAGAGGAAUUUGAUGCAGAAUCACCAACAGUUUCAACACCAGCAAUAUCAACAGCAACAACAACAACAACAUCAGCAACAGCAGCAGUGGUUGAGGAGGAGCCAGUUACCUCCUGCAGAUUCCAGUGUUGACGAGGUUGAGAAGACCGUUCAGUCUGAGGCCGUUGACUCAAGUUCGCAAGAUUGGAAGGCGAGGCUAAAUAUACCACCACCUGAUACACGCUACAAAACAGAGGUAUGGGUCUUAACUACAUGUUUACAUGCUUGCAAAGUCAUGGUUGUGAUUAUGUGACUUACCUUGUUAGGAGUUUUAGAAGAUUUUGGUCUUUUUUCUGUAUUUGGAAUCCCGAGAAAUCUUUCCCCUUAUGUUUCUCUUUGUGAUAGAGUUUGGCCUGUGAUUAAUAUACGGCUGCUGGGAAUUCUUAGUUAUUUGUGAUAAAGAGAUUGACUGGCUUUUUGACUUAACAAGGAAAUUGUAAGUUAUGGAAGAUUUUUUAGAUAUCUUAGAAAAUUGCUCUAUGAAAUUGGAAGAUUGCAAAUUACAACAACAUGAUAGGUGAAACUCGUAUGAGAUUAAAUGGCUUCCUAUACCCUCUGCGAGCUACAACUGUUAUCUUUCAGUUCCCUUUGGCUCUGGAUGCAGGGAACUGCAUUAUGCAUUUACCUGAUAACAUCUUCUCAACUGUAGGAUAUCUUGGAUCUUUAGAGAAGUAUUCUGAAAAAAGGCAAGUAUUUCAGGUGUUAGCAUGUGCAUAUUUCUAGUGUUACUGGUAAUGGUAGGCUGUACUUUGUUACUAUGAUCUUCUAGAACUUUCUUUUGCACUUCAUUUCUGCUUUGCUUUUCCUUCCAUAUGAAUAAUAUAUUGAACGUAUUAUUUGAGAAUGUUUAGUUGCUUGCAUUAUCAGUUCUUAGGUUUAGGGUUAACGGGGCUCUUCUAUCUGAACACGAGUUCUCAUAUGAGAGCAGUUGUGCCUUAUGAAGAUUGUCUGGGUUUGUUGUCCUGGAAAUAGUUUAAAGCCUGUAGUCAGAUGAAAACUAAUAUGGUACCAUUUUUUUAAAUGGAUUAAUGAAGUAGAAUGGUGCAUGUAGACAUUUUUUUAUGUGCCUAUGAGUUGUGAUAUACCUUGUUCAGGAUGUGACAGCCACAAAAGGAAAUGAAUUUGAGGACUAUUUUCUGAAACGUGAAUUGCUUAUGGGAAUCUAUGAGAAGGGGUUUGAAAGACCAUCCCCAAUUCAGGAAGAAAGCAUACCAAUUGCUCUUACUGGUAGUGAUAUUCUGGCUAGAGCUAAAAAUGGCACUGGUAAAACAGCAGCCUUUUGCAUUCCUGCCUUGGAAAAAAUUGACCAAGAUAACAAUGUUAUUCAAGUUAUUAUACUUGUUCCAACAAGGGAGUUGGCUCUUCAGACAUCACAAGUUUGUAAGGAGCUUGGGAAGCAUUUGAAAAUUCAAGUAAUGGUCACCACUGGUGGUACAAGUCUAAAAGAUGAUAUCAUGCGUUUAUACCAACCAGUACAUUUACUUGUGGGUACUCCUGGAAGAAUACUAGAUCUUGCAAAGAAGGGUGUUUGCAUUUUGAAAGAUUGUUCAAUGCUUGUUAUGGAUGAGGCUGAUAAACUUUUGUCUCCAGAAUUUCAACCCUCUAUAGAGCAGCUGAUUCGCUUUCUUCCUCCAGCUCGUCAGAUUUUGAUGUUCUCAGCUACAUUUCCUGUUACUGUUAAGGAUUUCAAGGAUAGAUAUUUAAAAAAGCCUUAUAUUAUCAAUCUUAUGGAUGAGCUUACUCUCAAGGGUAUUACACAGUAUUAUGCUUUUGUUGAAGAGCGGCAGAAAGUACACUGUCUAAACACUCUUUUCUCUAAGCUUCAAAUAAACCAAUCAAUCAUAUUCUGCAACUCUGUGAAUCGAGUAGAACUUUUGGCCAAGAAGAUCACAGAGCUCGGAUAUUCUUGUUUUUACAUCCACGCAAAGAUGUUGCAAGACCAUCGUAACAGAGUGUUUCAUGACUUCCGCAAUGGUGCAUGCAGGAAUCUUGUUUGUACUGAUUUGUUUACCAGGGGUAUAGACAUCCAAGCAGUUAACGUAGUUAUUAAUUUUGAUUUCCCCAAGAAUUCUGAAACAUAUCUUCACAGGGUUGGUAGAUCAGGCAGGUUUGGACACCUUGGUUUGGCUGUGAAUUUGAUCACCUAUGAGGACCGCUUUAACUUGUAUAGGAUUGAGCAAGAGCUUGGGACUGAAAUUAAGCAAAUUCCUCCACAUAUUGAUCAGGCAAUAUAUUGCCGGUAACCUGCACCAGAUAUCUUGCCCUUUAUUCAACAAUGAUGAGCGGCAACAAUGGCUAGCAAUGGUGAGUAAUUGCGGUGGAGUGCAUACAUGGCAGAUUGUCAUUUCAGUGCUUUGAUGUUGGAUGUUCUAAUAUUUCAUUACUGUUGUCAUUUCAUGUCUUCUGGUUGUUCAUUUGCUAACUAGAGAGGUUCUGACACCAUCGUUUAAGUCCCCAUUACAUGUAAUCAUUUGGUGGUUUAGUACCUGUUUGGCAUCAAGUUUCAGGAGCCAAAAAGCACUUUUCAGAAAAAGUACCUUUUUUUUUUUUUUGGUAUAAAGAAGUUUACGUGAGUCGAGGGCAUACCACCAACCUCGUUCAGGAAUUGUAAUGGAGUUCACAAAUUGCCUCUUAGGAGGGACAGUUUAUAAGACUCUUAACUUUCAACUUAGUGGGAGCUUAUUGAAUUUUACUAUUUGAACCAAUCCUCUUUGUCUAAGCACUAUUUUAAAUGCCGUUAAAAAAAGCAGUUUAAAACAAGCUAUCUUGUUAUUUUGAUGUUUUUAUGACUAAAACAUAACCUAGUUAUGAUCAAAGGGGGAAGAUCAAUCAAUAUAAAAUUAAAUUUUGAAAUUGAAACUCAAAUUGAUCAAUGUAACUAGCGAAUUGUGUUCCUUCAGUUUUGGGUUAUCUGAAACUAAGAUCAAUAAACAAAUGUAUCAUUCUUAACUGCAAGAUGGAUUUAUUAUUGGUGUUUUUUAUAAUAGAUAUUAAGCUUAAUGUGAUACGAUGGAAUGAUGUUACGGGCUUGGCUUUUGAUGGCUUUUUCGUUACUUGUCUUGUAGGGCCCAGGCUGUCAACUAAAGAUGGUGUCUAGCUUUGUAACUGAGGGCGACUUCUAAGAAUUAAGUAUUGUUGGUGAAGACUUGAUUGCUAUAUGCAUUUAACCCUGGAAUGCUUUUCUUGGUUUCUGGAUUUUCAUAGCCUGAAACGUUAACAGGAUUAUAGGUUAGAGUUUUAAUGGUUUUAUAAACCCCAGAUUGAUGCUGGGUCCAGUUCUGUGUUGUGUUUGAUUUCCAUGACAAGACUGGUUUGUUACUAUGAGCUUAGUAUUAUCACUGUUGAAUCUAAGGCUGUACUUUGUGCAAAAAGUGGUGUUCUUUUCCGCUUGCUUCCCAUCUAAGGAUGUACUUUGUGGAAUAAAGGCAUUAAUAUCUUUCGAUUAUUUUCUAGUGAGGACAUUGAUGCUUUUCUGCUGUCAAUCUCCAUGUCUAUUUCUUGUAUACAAGUUCCUGUCUCGCGUGGUUUUGUGAAUUU
This 4235-nucleotide unclassified non-coding RNA is filed under the name Hevea brasiliensis (rubber tree). Lineage: Eukaryota; Viridiplantae; Streptophyta; Magnoliopsida; Malpighiales; Euphorbiaceae. The record is from RNAcentral.